AUUGCUUCUCGGCCUUUUGGCUAAGAUUAAGUGUAGUAUCUGUUCUUAUCAGUUUAAUAUCUGAUACGUCUUCUAUCCGAGGACAAUAUAUUAAAUGGAUUUUUGGAGCUGGGAGAUGGAAUAGGAGCUUGCUCUGCCCACUCCACGCAUUGACCUGGUAUUGCAGUACCUCCAGGAAUGGUGCACCCCCU
Octodon degus (degu) is the source of this 191-nucleotide small nuclear RNA. Its record names the gene U2. It matches the Rfam family "U2 spliceosomal RNA". From Rfam's summary of the family: U2 is a small nuclear RNA (snRNA) component of the spliceosome (involved in pre-mRNA splicing). Complementary binding between U2 snRNA (in an area lying towards the 5' end but 3' to hairpin I) and the branchpoint sequence (BPS) of the intron results the bulging out of an unpaired adenosine, on the BPS, which initiates a nucleophilic attack at the intronic 5' splice site, thus starting the first of two transesterification reactions that mediate splicing. Lineage: Eukaryota; Metazoa; Chordata; Mammalia; Rodentia; Octodontidae. The record is from Ensembl.